Molecule: non-coding RNA, 84 nt
Organism: Peniophora sp. CONT
Lineage: Eukaryota; Fungi; Basidiomycota; Agaricomycetes; Russulales; Peniophoraceae
Source: Rfam
GGUCCUGUAGUGUAGUGGUUAUCACAGCGGAUUCUGAUCACUCGGAGUCUUCCGCUAACCCAGGUUCGAGUCCUGGCAGGACCU